AUGGCAAGUGAGGAUGAUGACCUUCGUGCGCGUCGUGCAGGAAGUGACAAGGAGCAAGGUUAUAAUACAGUGGUGGCACUGGAAAGGGUGGCGACGGAGUCCAGAAGGAUGGAGGUGCUGCUGCUGCACUUGGUUCUGGAAUUGGCAUGGGAGGAGGAGCAGCUGAUGAUGGAACUAAUUCUUGUGGGAGGAUCCAGCGUCAUGUCUGUGAGCCUGGAUACGCAUUCAGGGGUUCCUCAGAGGUUGGAGGUAUCUCAAGCCAAGGAGGACGGGGUGGCAAUGCAAAUGUUGAAGGUGCAUAAAUUUUCAGAAUGA
RNAcentral lists this ribosomal RNA (315 nucleotides) under Triticum aestivum (bread wheat). RNAcentral's name for it is "partial small subunit ribosomal RNA". Lineage: Eukaryota; Viridiplantae; Streptophyta; Magnoliopsida; Poales; Poaceae. The record is from RNAcentral.